UACGGCCUAAACCCAUAAAGCUGU
Molecule: non-coding RNA, 24 nt
Filed under: Arabidopsis thaliana (thale cress)
Lineage: Eukaryota; Viridiplantae; Streptophyta; Magnoliopsida; Brassicales; Brassicaceae
Source: RNAcentral